GGCGAACUGCUCAGUAACACGUCAAUAAUCUACCCUUAGGUUCGGGAUAACCUCGGGAAACUGAGGAUAAUACCGGAUGAGGUAAUUGUACUGGGAUGUCUUUUAUCCAAAACGUAAGGCCUAAGGAUGAGUUGGCGGCGGAUUAGGUAGUUGGCGAGGUAACGGCUCACCAAGCCAAAGAUCCGUAGGGGCCUUGAGAGAGGUAGCCCCGAGAAGGACACUGAGAUACUGGUCCUAGCCCUACGGGGUGCAGCAGGCGCGAAAACUUUACAAUGCACGAAAGUGUGAUAAGGGAAUCCCAGGUGCUUAUACAUUAGUAUAGGCUUUUGCCAAGAGCAAAUAUCUUGGAGAAUAAGUGGUGGGUAAGACCGGCGCCAGCAGCCGCGGUAACCCCGGCGCCACGAGUGGCAACCAUAAUUAUUUGGCCUAAAGCGUCCGUAGCCGGUUCGGUAAGUCUUUUGUGAAAUCGUUGCGCUCAACGUAACGGUGUGCAAAAGAUACUGCCAGACUUGGAACUGGGAAGGGUCAGGGGUAUUCCGAGGGGAGCGGUAAAAUGUUAUAAUCCUCGGAGGACCACCUGUGGCGAAGGCGUCUGACUAGAACAGCUUCGACGGUGAGGGACGAAAGCCAGGGGAGCAAAACGGAUUAGAUACCCGAGUAGUCCUGGCUGUAAACGCUGCGAGCAAGGUGUCGCGUAUUCUUAGUGAAUACGCGGUGUCGAAGAGAAGUCGUUAAGCUCGCCGCCUGGGAAGUAUGGUCGCAAGGCUGAAACUUAAAGGAAUUGGCGGGGGAGCACCACAAGGGGUGCGGCGUGCGGUUUAAUCCAAUUCAACACGGAGAAUCUCACCAGGAGCGACGGCAGGAUGAAGGUCAGUCUAAAGGGCUUACCAGACGAGCCGAGAGGUAGUGCAUGGCCGUCGUCAGCUCGUGCUGUAAAGUGUCCUGCUAAGCCAGGCAACGAGCGAGACCUGUAUUCACAAUUGCUAACGACCAUUUUCAUGGAAUCGAGCACAUUGUUGAGACUGCCUGGGAAACCAGGAGGAAGGCGCAGGCUACGGUAGGUCUGUAUGCUCCGAAUCUUCUGGGCUACACGCGCGCAACAAUGGUAAUGACAAUGUGAUGCAACUCCGAAAGGAGAAGCUAAUCCUCGAAACAUUACCCUAGUUCAGAUUGAGGGUUGUAACUCACCCUCAUGACGAUGGAAUCCCUAGUAAUCAGAUGUUAUCAGCAUCUGGUGAAUAUGUCCCUGCUCCUUGCACACACCGCCCGUCAAACCAUCCGAGCCGGGUUUAGGUGAGGCGUGGUUUUCAAUCACCUCGAACCUAAAUUCAGUGAGGCGGGUUAAGUCGUCACAAGGUA
RNAcentral lists this ribosomal RNA (1359 nucleotides) under metagenome. Its description in RNAcentral is "bacterial SSU rRNA". It matches the Rfam family "Archaeal small subunit ribosomal RNA". The record is from RNAcentral.